CAACCAAUGAACGUGGCCUAGGAAGAGGCCUCAGUGCUCAUUGAAUUCCGCAGUCUCUUCCAACAGCAUAUCGGCAUGGGUGCCGGGAGUCAAACCCCCACCAGUCCGAUAUUGAUGACCUAUCCUGAGGAUAGGUCAUCAGUAUUAAACACUCAGACUACCCCUUUAAACAGGAGCUGUCGCCUCUCCUAACAUGUCAGCUGUAGGAGUGAUUUGCAACCCCAGUGCAGUAAUAAAAUCUGGAGCAUCUCUUCUUACAACUGUGUUUUCUCCCAUUUCACAACAUACAGUUACCCGGCAUCACUGAUUAGAGCGUGCUCCACUGUGCAGGGACGCACUUCUAGUAGGAAUAAUAGAGGAGUGGCUCAACAUAGAAUGGUCAUUUCAUAUGGAAUACAAUUUUUUACUGAAACAGACAAGUCAGGAGAGGUGACAGUCCUCUUUUAAAAUCAGCUAAUUUGAAAAUGAAUCAAAAAGAUAAUGUUCUAAGUAUCAAUUUGUAUACAUGGCGAACAAUUUCCUAACUAUUGUUAAUAAGGCUUCAUGCACUCGACUGUAUCCAUUACUAGAAAUGACUAUUCUUGUCCUUAAUACAGACAAGAAUACGACUUGUUCUAUAAUUUGCAGGAUGGACAUACGGAUGCGGGCAGCACACGGAUAGCAUCAGUUUGCUGUCUGUUUUUUGCACCCCCAUAGAAAUAAAUGGGUCUCUGUGCCAUCCACAAAAAAUGCAGAUUGAACACGGAUACAAAAUAUGGUCGUGUGUAUGAGGCCUAAGGAUGGUUAGUACUAAGCUAGGGUUUCCUCUGUAAGUUCAUCGCAACGUGCCUUAUGCUGGCCGUACAUUAGGAGUUUCAGACGUCCAUUUUUUUUUUUUAUGACUUCCAUGCUUGGUCUGUGAAGUUAACGCCAUCAGUUAAAACUGAGAAAUCACAGGUUAAACUCUGCUGUAAUGUGUGUAGUCUGGGCUUCCAUUGAUAGGAUGUAGAUCUGUUAUUGGGAUGGAUGACUUUCCAGGUAGAGGACCUGACAAAGACCAAAAAAUCUAACGUAUCAGAUCAACUUUUCAACAGAUUUCUGCCAUCGGUCAUCAUCCGUCAUGCUCAUUUGUGCCAUUAAAGGUGCGGAUGGUCGCCAGACAUUGGUUUCAUUCUUCUUUUUCGGCUGUCCAAAGUCUCUAGUUUAUGGCCUGCUUUAAUUUAUUUAAUAUAUAAUCGAAAACUCGUAUUUUCUGUUUUCUCUAAGGGAAUAAUAUAAUAUUCACUCUGUCAGGCUACAUGCACACGACCGUAUGUAUUUUGCAAUCCCCAAAAAUAAGGAUGACGUCCAUGUGAUAUCCGUGUUGCAUCCAUUUU
Bufo bufo (common toad) is the source of this 1355-nucleotide long non-coding RNA. RefSeq lists it as uncharacterized. The transcript is spliced from 3 exons. Lineage: Eukaryota; Metazoa; Chordata; Amphibia; Anura; Bufonidae. The record is from RefSeq and is a predicted model, not a curated record.